Molecule: RNA transcript, 3675 nt
Organism: Nothoprocta perdicaria
Lineage: Eukaryota; Metazoa; Chordata; Aves; Tinamiformes; Tinamidae
Gene: CWF19L2
Gene name: CWF19 like cell cycle control factor 2
Exons: 19
Source: RefSeq, a predicted model, not a curated record
AUGGCGUCGGCGCUGGAGGGCGAGGCGGCGGCGCGCGGGGAGCGGCGGYCGGAGCGGGAGGCGCCGCUGGCGCAGGCCAAAAUUACUUAUGCGAAGGAGCAGAAGCAAAAGGUGCUGAAGCGUCUGCGGGGUGAAGACUCAUGGAUGCUGCCUGAUGUGAACGAAUGUGCGGAACAASUGGAAAAGGAACAUUCUGUGCAAAAGAAAAAGAAAAAGGAUAAACAUUCAAGAAAAUCUAAGAAAGAAAAGAAGAAAAGCAAAAAACAAAAAUCUGAAAAGAAGGAUGACCUCCUUGAUAGUUCUUCAGAUUCUUCAGUUGAAUGGGUUGAGUCAAAUGCGUCGCAGUCAGACAAUACAGAAAAGACUUGGAAAGUCAGCGAGCAGUCAGACACUAGGGAAGAGCCUUCCCUACAGAGAGAAGAAUGGAUGACUUUAGACUUCAUGUCUUUGAAAACCACAUCAGCGGCAUCUGUCAAAACUGAAAAACAAAAGGAAAAAAUACUGGAAAGACAGAAAGCUCAAGAAAUUGAGCAGGCGAGGCUUUCUGAGAGAGAACUGAAUCCCUAUUGGAAAGAUGGUGGUACAGGUUUGCCACCAGAGGAAAGUGAAGCAGCUCCAGCUAAGAAAGUUACAGUGGUAGAAGAUGCUGGAUUGAGUUGGUUACAAAAAUCAUACAGAAGGAUGAAGGAACAGGCUGAGAGAGAGAAACGGAAUUUUGAGGAAGUUGUAGCUGAGAGAUAUGGGUCAAUGGAGAUAUUUCAGUCACGAUUAGAAGAAGCUGAAAAAGUUGCAUUCAAAAAAGAAAAUUAUAGACAAGGAAGGUGGAGGAAAUCUGACUACUCAGAAAGUCAAGACAGGAAAGAGCAGCGAAUGAAGGAGGCUCAAGAUGAAGGUGAUAUAAAUAAGAAUGUGKUCAGAGGAUACACUGGGGAGAAGUAUGGCAAGGGAUGGGCACAAGAAAACAGAGGCUGCAAACGAGAUAGAUCAAGAGAAGACCAAGGUCCUGGCCUCAGCAGUCCAGAUGCAGAGCUGAGAAGCCACAGCUCCAAAGCAGAAAAACUGUUUGAGGGAAAACAAAGUCGGGAAAAAAGUUCCUCCCUCAGCAACAUGAAACACAAAUUUUUAAAACCCUCUGAAGAUGAUUUAUCAUCGUAUAGUUUACAUAAGGACUGUGAGUCACAGCAGACGUCUUCAAAACUGUCGGUUCACAGCUCUUUGAGCAGCCGUUUCCAAAAACCUGGCGAGGAUCCUGCACUGUGGACCAGAACACACGCAAAAGGCAGCAGUGAGAAAGUCGGGUCCGAGCGACAGUCAGCAGGUGCUCUGGAACCACUCARGAAGAGUUGGGAUAGAUCCUCAGGCGAUGGCAAAGAACAAUCACAGCAGCAGGACCCAGGAAAUACCUCGGCGAAGAAAGACACAUUAUCAAGCAAUGAAACAUCGUGUGCUAGGCCUACGUCAAAGGAUGAGGUGUUUCACGUCCUUAGUGAAGAGGAGAUGAACAAACUAGGAGCCAGGAUUGUGAAAGCAGAACUCAUGGGAGACAUGGAAUUGGCUUCAAAACUWCAAGCAGAGCUUGAGAAUGCACGGAAAUUAAGGGAGAAUCACAAGCAGGUUCCAGCAAAGACUGGCAGAGCGGUCUCAAGCCUUCAGGAAGAUGAACCAGUGAUCCUUGUCAGAACAGAUCAAACUGGAAGGGCAUGGCCUGUGACAACAGCAGCUGAACCACUGGAGCCAAAAGGAGGGAGAAGAAAACGCCAGAUGGUCCCUACUCAUAUAGAUAAAGAAAGAGUCAGGUAUUUCCAAGACGAUGAUCGUAUGAGCCUGAAGGAUUUAGUCAAAAAUGAGAAGAUGAGAACAGCAGAGGAUCAAAAYGCACUUUUUAUGCGUAUGACAUCAAAGCUUAUGGAAAAAACUGACAGAGAGUAUUACACCUUGGAUGACAUGUUUGUUUCCAAAGCAGCGAAAGGAGAGCGUAGUGGGGAAGAGGAAGAAAGGCAAAGGAGGAGAGCAAUUCACGAGCACCAGCAGCUUGCUGCAGCCAUGGAAAAGUGUCCCUAUUGUUUUCAUAGCAAUGAGCUUUCUAAACAUCUUAUUAUUGCACUUGGCACCAAGGUUUACUUGUCUCUGCCAAGCGGUCAGUCCCUCACUGAAGGCCACUGCCUGAUAGCCCCUCUACAGCACCAUACGGCAGCCACUCUGCUGGAUGAAGACAUCUGGGAAGAAAUCCAGAUGUUCAGAAAGGCUUUAGUGAAGAUGUUUGAAGCUAUGGAACUGGACUGUGUCUUCCUAGAAACAAACAUGAGUAUGAAGAAACGGUAUCACAUGGUGUAUGAAUGCAUUCCUCUUCCCAGAGAAGUAGGAGAUAUGGCUCCAAUCUAUUUUAAGAAAGCUAUAAUGGAAUCUGAUGAAGAGUGGUCCAUGAACAAGAAGUUAAUUGAUCUUUCUUCAAAAGAUGUUCGGAAAUCUGUUCCUAAAGGAUUGCCAUACUUUUCAGUGGACUUUGGCCUUCAAGGAGGAUUUGCUCAUAUCAUUGAAGAUCAACACAAGUUCCCUCAUUAUUUUGGAAAGGAAGUCAUUGGUGGCAUGCUGGACUUGGAACCACGGCUCUGGAGAAAAGGAAUCAGGCAGAACUUUGAGGAUCAGAGGAAGAAAGUGUUGCAGUUUGCACAGUGGUGGAAACCAUAUGACUUUACCAAAAGUAAAGAAUGAAUACAUCCAGCUCUGGACUGGGUGAGGACCAGUUAGCAAGGACUCUAUAUAAGCCAUAUGCUAUUUUAAAAGAUAUUUUCUAUGUAAAGUAUAACACCAGUGUGUUAUGUAUUGCUAAAAAGUUUUUUAAAAACAGGAAUAUUCAUUAUUUGCUCAUUAUUCAUUUCUGGGUUCUGCAAAUCAGAUGACUAUGGCUUUUGUAUUUUUUUUUUACCUGAAUCAAAAGACCAGUGUCCAUUUGGUUAGUGGAAGUCUUAAAAUAAUGUUGUGCUUUUGGAUUUUUUUAUAAUCUUUGAAACAGAUGUUUUUUUUUUUUUAUUUAGCAUAGAAUCAAAGCUUACUACUACUGUGACAUUUUGUAGAUAAUGGUGUAAAUUUUAGGACUAUUUUAAUGUAUUGUUGCAGAAGGAAGCUGUUAUAGAAAAUCACUUUCUGCUUCUGAGUCCUUGUGGGUUUUUUUAAGUCAUUGUAGUAAUAUAAAACUUAAAAUAUGACAUGGUUGAUAAAUCUACUGGCMUCUGCACAAGAUUUGAUGUUGUUUUUUAUAUGUUUUUAAUAUAAAGUUGUAUUUUCAAACAGAGUUGUUGUACAAAGGAUGAUGAGACACUCGUGCACGUUUUUUUUAUGAAGUCUGUAGCUGAUGACAAGUAUCAGCUUUAACAAAGCUACGAAAGAGACUGUAGGAGAGAGUGAGAAGGGGCUCUCGUACCAGAGGCAGUCGCUUCCCUCAGGAACUGUGACACAGCAACGUCUCGUGCCUUGCAGGACUGGGAGAACAGGACCAGACCACAGACAAGGGCCCAGACGUACCCUCAAUGUCCUCCAGGUGCAUUGGGGAAGGCCUCCAAGCUUUUAGGCAAAAGACAAUGUUACAAGGAGAGGCUUCAGAAGGGCACACUGGAGCCCCUUAGAUUUUACAGGGGUUAAUGCACUGUACAGCAGUGUCAUGGUGAGCUGCCAGGU